Molecule: ribosomal RNA, 493 nt
Filed under: uncultured bacterium
Lineage: Bacteria
Description: partial 16S ribosomal RNA
Rfam family: Bacterial small subunit ribosomal RNA
Source: RNAcentral
ACGCACGCUGGCGGCGUGCUUCACACCUGCAAGUCGCACAGUGAAGCGCCUUCCUUUUUGGUGGGUGUGGAUGAGUGGCGAACGGGUGAGUAACACGUGAGUAACCUGCCCCCUUCUUCUGGAUAACCGCAUGAAAGUGUGGCUAAUACGGGAUAUUCUGGGUCUGUCGCAUGAUGGGUCUGGGAAAGAUAUUGUUUCGGUGGGGGAUGGGCUCGCGGCCUAUCAGCUUGUUGGUGGGGUGAUGGCCUACCAAGGCGGUGACGGGUAGCCGGCCUGAGAGGGUGGACGGUCACACUGGGACUGAGACACGGCCCAGACUCCUACGGGAGGCAGCAGUGGGGAAUAUUGCACAAUGGGCGCAAGCCUGAUGCAGCGACGCCGCGUGAGGGAUGGAGGCCUUCGGGUUGUGAACCUCUUUCGCCAGUGAAGCAGGCCUGCCUCGUUUGUGGGUGGGUUGACGGUAGCUGGAUAAGAAGCGCCGGCUAACUACGUG